This 88-nucleotide transfer RNA is filed under the name Lentisphaeria bacterium. RNAcentral describes it as "tRNA-Ser". It matches the Rfam family "tRNA". From Rfam's summary of the family: Transfer RNA (tRNA) molecules are approximately 80 nucleotides in length. The record is from RNAcentral. Lineage: Bacteria; Pseudomonadati; Lentisphaerota; Lentisphaeria.
GGAGAGAUGGUCGAGUGGUUUAAGGCAGCGGUCUUGAAAACCGCCGAGGCGCAAGCCUCCGGGAGUUCGAAUCUCCCUCUCUCCGCCA